RNAcentral lists this ribosomal RNA (468 nucleotides) under uncultured bacterium. RNAcentral's name for it is "partial 16S ribosomal RNA". It matches the Rfam family "Bacterial small subunit ribosomal RNA", at positions 28 to 507 of the family's 1533-position model. The record is from RNAcentral.
GACGAACGCUGGCGGCGUGCUUAACACAUGCAAGUCGAACGGAAAGGCCCUGCUUUUGUGGGGUGCUCGAGUGGCGAACGGGUGAGUAACACGUGAGUAACCUGCCCUUGACUUUGGGAUAACUUCAGGAAACUGGGGCUAAUACCGGAUAGGAGCUCCUGCGGCAUGGUGGGGGUUGGAAAGUUUCGGCGGUUGGGGAUGGACUCGCGGCUUAUCAGCUUGUUGGUGGGGUAGUGGCUUACCAAGGCUUUGACGGGUAGCCGGCCUGAGAGGGUGACCGGCCCCAUUGGGACUGAGAUACGGCCCAGACUCGUACGGGAGGCAGCAGUGGGGAAUAUUGCACAAUGGGCGGAAGCCUGAUGAGGCAACGCCGCGUGCGGGAUCACGGCCUUCGGGUUGUAAACCGCUUUCGCCUGUGACGAAGCGUGAGUGACGGUAAUGGGUAAAGAAGCACCGGCUAACUACGUG